RNAcentral lists this ribosomal RNA (255 nucleotides) under uncultured bacterium. RNAcentral's name for it is "partial 16S ribosomal RNA". It matches the Rfam family "Bacterial small subunit ribosomal RNA", at positions 524 to 776 of the family's 1533-position model. The record is from RNAcentral.
UACGGGGGGAGCAAGCGUUGUUCGGAUUUACUGGGCGUAAAGGGCGCGUAGGCGGCCACUGCAAGUCAGUUGUGAAAUCUCCGGGCUUAACCCGGAAAGGUCAGCUGAUACUGCAGGGCUAGAGUGCAGAAGGGGCAACUGGAAUUCUCGGUGUAGCGGUGAAAUGCGUAGAUAUCGAGAGGAACACCUGCGGCGAAGGCGGGUUGCUGGGCUGACACUGACGCUGACAGCGCGAAAGCUAGGGGAGCGAACGGG